Molecule: ribosomal RNA, 274 nt
Filed under: uncultured bacterium
Lineage: Bacteria
Description: partial 16S ribosomal RNA
Rfam family: Bacterial small subunit ribosomal RNA
Source: RNAcentral
AUACGAAGGGGGCUAGCGUUGUUCGGAAUAACUGGGCGUAAAGCGCACGUAGGCGGAAUGUUAAGUUAGAGGUGAAAUCCCAGGGCUCAACCCUGGAACUGCAUUUAAUACUGGCAAUCUAGAGAUCGAGAGAGGUGAGUGGAAUUCCGAGUGUAGAGGUGAAAUUCGUAGAUAUUCGGAGGAACACCAGUGGCGAAGGCGGCUCACUGGCUCGAUACUGACGCUGAGGUGCGAAAGCGUGGGGAGCAAACAGGAUUAGAUACCCCGGUAGUCC